UACGGAGGGUGCAAGCGUUAAUCGGAAUCACUGGGCGUAAAGCGCGCGUAGGUGGCUAUUUAAGUCAGAUGUGAAAGCCCUGGGCUCAACCUGGGAAUGGCAUUUGAUACUGGAUAGCUAGAGUAUGGUAGAGGUGAGUGGAAUUUCAGGUGUAGCGGUGAAAUUCGUAGAUAUUUGGAAGAACACCGGUGGCGAAGGCGGCUACCUGGUCCGAUACUGACGCUGAGGUGCGAAAGCGUGGGGAGCGAACAGG
Molecule: ribosomal RNA, 253 nt
Filed under: uncultured bacterium
Lineage: Bacteria
Description: partial 16S ribosomal RNA
Rfam family: Bacterial small subunit ribosomal RNA
Source: RNAcentral